GACGAACCGUGCGAACGUUGUUCGGAAUCACUGGGCUUAAAGGGCGCGUAGGCGGGCUCGCCAGUCAGGGGUGAAAUCCCGCGGCUCAACCGUGGAAGUGCCUCUGAUACUGCGAGUCUCGAGGGAGGUAGGGGCGUGCGGAACUUCCGGUGGAGCGGUGAAAUGCGUAGAUAUCGGAAGGAACACCGGUGGCGAAAGCGGCGCGCUGGACCUCUUCUGACGCUGAGGCGCGAAAGCCAGGGGAGCAAACGGG
This 253-nucleotide ribosomal RNA is filed under the name uncultured bacterium. RNAcentral describes it as "partial 16S ribosomal RNA". It matches the Rfam family "Bacterial small subunit ribosomal RNA", at positions 524 to 776 of the family's 1533-position model. The record is from RNAcentral.